GUAAUUAAUAAAACAUAAGGCGCAAGAAAAUUAAAACUAUGCGUAUUCUCUAAAAUUAGGUCAUUCACACCCAAUUGUUGCUCCAACAUAAUUAGUUUUCCAUGUUUUUUUCUUAGUGAAUGCUCAAUUUCGUUUUGCCCUAAUCUCAUUGUUUUCCAUCGCAGCUUCAUCAAAUAACGAAGAAAUUACUACAUUAUAAUGUUUCCAUCCUAACAACUGAGGUACAUAAAAAGGCAGCACCUUGUAGACGUGACAGAGAUUUUUAAUCUGCUUAAUUGGGAAAAGAAAUAGAGACUUUUCAAACUAGGCUAUAUCAUCCUUCUCCUCUUUAUAUCAUUAUUUUGGUUGAUUUAUAGUGCUUGUGAUGAUGAUGAUGAGUCUCUAUAGGUUCUCUUGUCUGAGCCAAAAGCAUAUGUACCCGGAGCUGCUAUGUUUGCUCAUUUAUAUUAUCUUUGUUCUAGUUCCUUAUUCUUGAAAGUUUGGGGGCUAGAGAUAGCAGGUUUGAUUGCAGAUUCUGAACAUUUGACAGAAUGCCAAAACCAGAAGGGGCAUGGUAUCUUUGCAUCGGCACCAUAAAUUUAUUCAAUUUAUAACUUGCAUAUCUUACAAUAUGAGUCCAAUUUUCAGUUAAAAAAAAAACAAUAUGAGUCCAAUUUACUCAAGUCAAAGUCAGUAUCUCUUAGGAUCACGAGUUUAUUUUACACUUCCUUUGCCUACUACUAUACAAGUAAAAGAAUGUUCUCAAAAAACUUUUUAAGUCAACUUUUUUUUCCUGGAAUUUCUAAGUUUUCUGGAUGGACCGUUCCUCCACUUUUGUUUGCCAAAAUCCACUACAGGGUCCAGAGCUUCCAAUGCUUCAGGAAUGAAUGUCAGAUGCAGCCGAUAGAGAAAAAAUUGGUACUACGACUCCAAAAAAAUUGGUUCAUCCAUUCUCCAGUUCAAUGCCACCUCUGCCACAAUGUAGACAACUUUACUCUCUGCGUCCUUUCAUUUGGGGUCUUUUUCUUUCUUCUUUGGUGUCCUUCAUUUGGUCUCAACAUAGAUGGUACUCUUUUAUUGUCUUUCAAAUACUCUAUUCUUGAUGAUCCUUUAUCAGUUCUUGAUAAUUGGGAAUAUAAUGAUGCAACCCCGUGUUUGUGGAAUGGUGUCACUUAUGCACCAGACAUGAUAAUUCAAGUUCUUUCGCUAUCAAACAAUGAUGUUAAUGGAGUACUUCCAGAGUCUGUUGGGGGGGUUAAAGAGCCUAAAGGUUCUAAAUCUUUCUGUCAGUGCAUUUGUUGGAAAUCUGCCUUUGUUGGAAAUCUUCCACAAAAGAGUUCUUUGCAGAAUUUAGCAGUUGUUUCUUUAAGGAACAACCAUUUUUCUGGCAUAGUACCAAGUGGAUUUCAGUUUAUUGAAGUGUUGGAUCUUUCUUCCAACUUUUUGAAUGGAACAUUGCCUGCUGAGUUUGGUGGCGAUAGCUUGAAAUACUUAACCUCUUUUCAAACAAGCUUGUCUGGUUUAGUGUCAUCACAAUUUUCCAAGAAAAUACCACCAAAUGCUACAAUUGAUCUUUCUUUCAAUAGCCUCACAGCUGAAAUCCCAGAGUCAGUAGCCUUAUCAAACCAGAAAAUUUAGUUCUUUGCAGGAAACACUUACCUCUUUCAAUUAGAAGUGUUUGAAAACUCGAAAGCGAGGACUGAAUAAUGCUAUUAGAGUUUGGCAUAGGCUGACUCUACUUACUCAUUUAGAAUGCCUUUUUAAACUAUAAAUGAUGUAAUGUAUCUCAUCGCUUUUCUAAUUAGUUUUUUUUUUAAUUUAGUUGCAGCGUUCGUUGACUUUUGUGAUUCUGAAGAUUACUGAAGACAAGUCAAGAUGCAAGCUUUGGAGAUGCACAAACUCAUUAUUAUUUUGUUAUGUAUUCAAAUGUUAUGAAAAAUUGAUAUCAUACUCUAGCUCGACCGGUAUGAUAAAUUAUAGGUUUUUCGUGAGACAAAUAUUGAAAUUAAAUAAUAUCAUGGGAUGUUAACUAAGUUUUCUGGUCUCUAAUUAUAUUCUAUUUUUGUAUCGAGAUUCUUGAUAGCAAUGUGAUAUUUAUUUUAUGAAAUUUAUUAUUUUAUG
This is an RNA transcript of Capsicum annuum, 2100 nucleotides long. It is a transcript of the gene named receptor protein kinase-like protein At4g34220, with no coding region annotated. The record is from RefSeq and is a predicted model, not a curated record. The transcript has 4 exons. NCBI's taxonomy places the organism in Eukaryota, Viridiplantae, Streptophyta, Magnoliopsida, Solanales, Solanaceae.